ACACUCCUGCGGGAGGCAGCAGUGGGGAAUUUUGGACAAUGGGCGAAAGCCUGAUCCAGCAAUGCCGCGUGAGUGAAGAAGGCCUUCGGGUUGUAGCUCUUUUGUCAGGGAAGAAACGGUGAAAGCUAAUAUCUUUUGCUAAUGACGGUACCUGAAGAAUAAGCACCGGCUAACUACGUGCCAGCAGCCGCGGUAAUACGUAGGGUGCAAGCGUUAAUCGGAAUUACUGGGCGUAAAGCGUGCGCAGGCGGUUUUGUAAGUCUGAUGUGAAAUCCCCGGGCUCAACCUGGGAAUUGCAUUGGAGACUGCAAGGCUAGAAUCUGGCAGAGGGGGGUAGAAUUCCACGUGUAGCAGUGAAAUGCGUAGAUAUGUGGAGGAACACCGAUGGCGAAGGCAGCCCCCUGGGUCAAGAUUGACGCUCAUGCACGAAAGCGUGGGGAGCAAACAGGAUUAGAAACCCGAGUAGUCC
RNAcentral lists this ribosomal RNA (469 nucleotides) under uncultured organism. RNAcentral's name for it is "partial 16S ribosomal RNA". It matches the Rfam family "Bacterial small subunit ribosomal RNA", at positions 333 to 796 of the family's 1533-position model. The record is from RNAcentral.